AAUUAACUGUGACUUAUUUUCCUAUAGGAUCAUCGGACUGAAAAUGAGAAAGAAUAAAGAGGCAGAGUUUCAGGUUUCCUUGCCUCUAAAACCAGGAUACCACCUUCUUAGGGUAACAGUGAAAGAAGACAACGAAAAAAGCACUGAGCUCAGGGCCUGGAACCUAGUAAGUAUACAAAAAUGUCAGCCGUUAAUAGCAAACAGUGGAUCUCAUACAGGGUGAUCUUUCAAGUCAGUCGUUGUGCGCCAUAUACAUGUAUUAAGAGGAAAAGAAAAGAAAAAGA
Long non-coding RNA from Hyaena hyaena (striped hyena), 284 nucleotides. RefSeq lists it as uncharacterized. Lineage: Eukaryota; Metazoa; Chordata; Mammalia; Carnivora; Hyaenidae. The transcript is spliced from 3 exons. The record is from RefSeq and is a predicted model, not a curated record.